CGGGGCGUAGCGCAGCUUGGUAGCGCACUUGCAUGGGGUGCAAGGGGUCGGAGGUUCAAAUCCUCUCGCCCCGACCA
RNAcentral lists this transfer RNA (77 nucleotides) under Gammaproteobacteria bacterium. Its description in RNAcentral is "tRNA-Pro". It matches the Rfam family "tRNA". From Rfam's summary of the family: Transfer RNA (tRNA) molecules are approximately 80 nucleotides in length. Their secondary structure includes four short double-helical elements and three loops (D, anti-codon, and T loops). Lineage: Bacteria; Pseudomonadati; Pseudomonadota; Gammaproteobacteria. RNAcentral also lists the same sequence under 6 other names. The record is from RNAcentral.